GAUGAACGCUGGCGGGAGGCCUAACACAUGCAAGCCGAGCGGUAUUUCUUCUUCGGGAGAGAGAGAGCGGCGUACGGGUGCGGAACACGUGUGCAACCUGCCUUUAUCUAGAGGAUAGCCUUUCGAAAGGAAGAUUAAUACUCUAUAAUAUAUUAAUUGGCAUCAAUUGAUAUUGAAAACUCCGGUGGAUAGAGAUGGGCACGCGCAAGAUUAGCUAGUUGGUGAGGUAACGGCUCACCAAGGCAAUGAUCUUUAGGGGGCCUGAGAGGGUGAUCCCCCACACUGGUACUGAGACACGGACCAGACUCCUACGGGAGGCAGCAGUGAGGAAUAUUGGUCAAUGGGUGCAAGCCUGAACCAGCCAUCCCGCGUGAAGGAUUAAGGUCCUAUGGAUUGUAAACUUCUUUUGUAUAGGGAUAAACCUACCCUCGCGAGGGUAGCUGAAGGUACUAUACGAAUAAGCACCGGCUAACUCCGUGCCAGCAGCCGCGGUAA
RNAcentral lists this ribosomal RNA (495 nucleotides) under uncultured bacterium. Its description in RNAcentral is "partial 16S ribosomal RNA". It matches the Rfam family "Bacterial small subunit ribosomal RNA", at positions 28 to 523 of the family's 1533-position model. The record is from RNAcentral.